GACGAACGCUGGCGGCGUGCUUAACACAUGCAAGUCGAACGGAAAGGCCCUGCUUUUGUGGGGUGCUCGAGUGGCGAACGGGUGAGUAACACGCGAGUAACCUGCCCUUGACUUUGGGAUAACUUCAGGAAACUGGGGCUAAUACCGGAUAGGAGCUCCUGCUGCAUGGUGGGGGUUGGAAAGUUUCGGCGGUUGGGGAUGGACUCGCGGCUUAUCAGCUUGUUGGUGGGGUAGUGGCUUACCAAGGCUUUGACGGGUAGCCGGCCUGAGAGGGUGACCGGCCACAAUGGGACUAAGAUACGGCCCAGACUCCUACGGGAGGCAACAGUGGGGAAUAUUACGCAAUAGGCGGGAGCCUGAUGCAGCAACGCCGCGUGCGGAAUGACGGCCUUCGGGUUAUAAACCGCUUUCGCCUGUAACGAGGCGUGAGUGACGGUAAUGGGUAAAGAAGCACCGGCUAACUACGUG
RNAcentral lists this ribosomal RNA (468 nucleotides) under uncultured bacterium. RNAcentral describes it as "partial 16S ribosomal RNA". It matches the Rfam family "Bacterial small subunit ribosomal RNA", at positions 28 to 507 of the family's 1533-position model. The record is from RNAcentral.